AUAGUUUGAUGCUGGCUCAGAAUGAACGCUGGCGGCGUGCUUAACACAUGCAAGUCGCACGAGAACGCUUCAGCUUGCUGAAGUUAGUAAAGUGGCGCACGGGUGAGUGACGCGUGGGUAAUCUACCCCCGAAUUGGGGAUAACAUUGCGAAAGCGAUGCUAAUACCGAAUGACAUCUUAAACACCCCGGUGAUUAAGAUCAAAGGUGGCCUCUACAUGUAAGCUACUGUUUGGGGAUGAGCCCGCGUACCAUUAGCUUGUUGGUAGGGUAACGGCCUACCAAGGCUGCGAUGGUUAGCUGGUCUGAGAGGAUGAUCAGCCACACUGGAACUGACACACGGUCCAGACUCCUACGGGAGGCAGCAGUGAGGAAUUUUGCGCAAUGGGGGAAACCCUGACGCAGCAACGCCGCGUGAGUGAUGAAGGCUUUCGGGUCGUAAAGCUCUGUCAAGUGGGAAGAAACCACCUGGUGCUAAUAUCACCAAGUGUUGACGGUACCACUGAAGGAAGCACCGGCUAACUCCGUGCCAGCAGCCGCGGUAAUACGGGGGGUGCAAGCGUUAUUCGGAAUUACUGGGCGUAAAGAGCGCGUAGGCGGUCUCUUAAGUCGGAUGUGAAAGCCCGGGGCUCAACCCCGGAAGUGCACUCGAAACUAAGGGACUUGAGUAUGGGAGAGGGAAGUGGAAUUCCUGGUGUAGCGGUGAAAUGCGUAGAUAUCAGGAGGAACACCGGUGGCGAAGGCGACUUCCUGGACCAAUACUGACGCUGAGGCGCGAAAGGCGUGGGGAGCAAAC
RNAcentral lists this ribosomal RNA (794 nucleotides) under uncultured delta proteobacterium. Its description in RNAcentral is "bacterial SSU rRNA". It matches the Rfam family "Bacterial small subunit ribosomal RNA", at positions 8 to 773 of the family's 1533-position model. The record is from RNAcentral. Lineage: Bacteria; Deltaproteobacteria.